AGGCUGUGAGAUCAUGACCUGAGCCAAAGUCGGAAGCUUAACCCACUGAGCCACACCCAGGCACCCCUCAUCCAUCCCAUUUCUAGCAAACCCCUGCACUGUGGUUUGGAAAAAUGGCCCAUCUCUCUUGUAGAAAAAAACAAAGGCAUAUAUUUGGGCAUCCUGAGUUAUGAGCGAAGACUAAAGUCAGUGGCUGAGGCGGCAGAAGGGCAGCUGGAUGUGGAGGGAGGAGUGGGACGGGAUGAGUAGUUUGGGAUAGUUUAGUUCUUAAUGUGACCUCUCCAUUCGCCACAGCUCACAGCUUCUCCUGAUCAGGGUCACACCUGUUCUCCCUCUGUUCUGAAGGAUAUUAGCUUCGGGGCCCUGGCUGACCUUCGGAGAGGGUUGAGGAUGUUUUCUCCUGCCAGGUUGACAGCCGCAUCGCAGCGGGGCAGCCCCGACAUAGCGAGCUCAUCCUGUUGGAGAAAACAAUGCUGCGAGGUGCGGGUGGUGGCUCGCCUCUGCGUCGCCAAACCAGACCUUCUUCCGCAGCUUCCAAAGAACGGACAUACCCAGGUACAGCAGCCUGACUGGCCUCAGAUGCCAUUCAGGCCUUUUUCACCUCGAAUUUUCCCCACUGCUGUUGUGCAUGGGGCCUCCAUGCUCCUCUGCCACUGGGCAGGGCAGGCUCUCCAGCUCCCGGUCUGAACCUUCUCCACCGCUGUGAGCAGUGCCACAGAAUCGCCACAUGAGAAGAGAGAUCCUGUGAUCCUGUUUGAGAGUCAGCUAUAUUCAGACUAAACUUUGUUUUGGGGGCUGAUCCUGCAGCUUCCAGAGGGAAGGACCACCAGACUCACCAGCUUCAGCUCUGGAGCAGAGGAGAAGGAGCAGCAGGGCAAGAGAAAGACAAUGCAUCUUCUCAGAGAGGCUGCCUGGGGCAGAUGCUGCCUCUAUUUUCCGGCUUGGGUUUUAUAACUCCAGCCAUGAGCGGAGGGCUGGGCUGGUAACCACAGGAACUGUGUGGUCAUGUUUUCUUCUCCCAUCCUAAA
This is a long non-coding RNA of Suricata suricatta (meerkat), 1028 nucleotides long. RefSeq lists it as uncharacterized. The record is from RefSeq and is a predicted model, not a curated record. The transcript has 3 exons. Lineage: Eukaryota; Metazoa; Chordata; Mammalia; Carnivora; Herpestidae.